Brevibacillus panacihumi W25 is the source of this 180-nucleotide non-coding RNA. It matches the Rfam family "6S / SsrS RNA". From Rfam's summary of the family: E. coli 6S RNA was the first non coding RNA to be sequenced, but its function was unknown until recently. The record is from Rfam. NCBI's taxonomy places the organism in Bacteria, Bacillati, Bacillota, Bacilli, Caryophanales, Paenibacillaceae.
UAAGCCCUACGAUGUCCGUGACAUCUGAUCGUUUUGAGCCACAAUGUUUGAUUCGGGAGUCGAAAGUCCCAACUGGAAAGGCACGCCUCCGCAAGAGUGGAAGUCUCUUUCAGUUGGGCAGACGCCCACCUGCGAUGAGCAGGUUCAAAACGUAGGAAAUCACGACAUAAUGGGGCUGCU